AAUCCAUAGGUUAAUGAGGCGAACCGGGGGAACUGAAACAUCUAAGUACCCCGAGGAAAAGAAAUCAACCGAGAUUCCCCCAGUAGCGGCGAGCGAACGGGGAGGAGCCCAGAGCCUGAAUCAGCAUGUGUGUUAGUGGAAGCGUCUGGAAAGGCGCGCGAUACAGGGUGACAGCCCCGUACACAAAAGCGCAUGUGCUGUGAGCUCGAUGAGUAGGGCGGGACACGUGGUAUCCUGUCUGAAUAUGGGGGGACCAUCCUCCAAGGCUAAAUACUCCUGACUGACCGAUAGUGAACCAGUACCGUGAGGGAAAGGCGAAAAGAACCCCGGCGAGGGGAGUGAAAAAGAACCUGAAACCGUGUACGUACAAGCAGUGGGAGCACCCUUUGGGUGUGACUGCGUACCUUUUGUAUAAUGGGUCAGCGACUUAUAUUCUGUAGCAAGGUUAACCGAAUAGGGGAGCCGGAGGGAAACCGAGUCUUAACCGGGCGUUAAGUUGCAGGGUAUAGACCCGAAACCCGGUGAUCUAGCCAUGGGCAGG
Molecule: ribosomal RNA, 541 nt
Filed under: Salmonella enterica subsp. enterica serovar Enteritidis
Lineage: Bacteria; Pseudomonadati; Pseudomonadota; Gammaproteobacteria; Enterobacterales; Enterobacteriaceae
Description: partial 23S ribosomal RNA
Rfam family: Bacterial large subunit ribosomal RNA
Source: RNAcentral